UGUCGGCGACCGGCGCACGGGUGCGUAACGCGUAUGCAACCUACCCAUUACAGGGGGAUAACACUGAGAAAUCGGUACUAAUACCCCAUAACAUCCAGGGAGGCAUCUUCUUGGGUUGAAAACUCCGGUGGUAAUGGAUGGGCAUGCGUUGUAUUAGUUAGUUGGUGGGGGUAACGGCUCACCAAGACAACGAUACAUAGGGGGACUGAGAGGUUAACCCCCCACCAUUGGUACUGAGGCACGGACCAAACUCCUACGGAAGGCAGCAG
This 269-nucleotide ribosomal RNA is filed under the name uncultured bacterium. Its description in RNAcentral is "partial 16S ribosomal RNA". It matches the Rfam family "Bacterial small subunit ribosomal RNA", at positions 86 to 354 of the family's 1533-position model. The record is from RNAcentral.